GCGGAUGUGGCGGAAUUGGCAGACGCGCCAGACUUAGGAUCUGGUCCCGUUAAACGGGUUGGGGGUUCGAGUCCCUUCAUCCGCA
RNAcentral lists this transfer RNA (85 nucleotides) under Chitinophagales bacterium. RNAcentral's name for it is "tRNA-Leu". It matches the Rfam family "tRNA". Rfam says of the family: Transfer RNA (tRNA) molecules are approximately 80 nucleotides in length. Their secondary structure includes four short double-helical elements and three loops (D, anti-codon, and T loops). The record is from RNAcentral. Lineage: Bacteria; Pseudomonadati; Bacteroidota; Chitinophagia; Chitinophagales.